Molecule: long non-coding RNA, 332 nt
Filed under: Phoenix dactylifera (date palm)
Lineage: Eukaryota; Viridiplantae; Streptophyta; Magnoliopsida; Arecales; Arecaceae
Description: long non-coding RNA (PDAC_LNC000091)
Source: RNAcentral
UGAGGAGAUCUUGGAUAUUUAUACAGGAUCAAGAAAUCUAAAUAAUAUCUUCUAGUUGCCUUUUUGGAUGAGAUGCUGGGUUGUAAUAAAUAGAAUUAGAGCCGACCGGCUUACAACCUAUGUGCACUAGGAGACAUUGCAACAUGGAUAUAUUGGGGCUGAUCAUCAUUGUGCUUGUGAUUAGAUUUGAAUAGAUUUGAAUCUUCAGCCUAACGGGACGUUAGGGCUUAAACAGAAAGAGUAUGUGAGGAUCUGUGCGGGCGUGUGUUUAGUCCCAUAUUAGUUAUUCAUCGAGAAGAUCUUGGGUACUUAUACAGGAUCAAGCAACUCAA